RNAcentral lists this long non-coding RNA (525 nucleotides) under Numida meleagris (helmeted guineafowl). RNAcentral describes it as "lncRNA (ENSNMEG00000014498.1)". Lineage: Eukaryota; Metazoa; Chordata; Aves; Galliformes; Numididae. The record is from RNAcentral.
CUGCAGGGGGCGCAGCGGCUCCGCUGCAGCCUUGCGGCCAGCCCGGCGUCCUCACGGCUGCGUCCGCUGCCUUGAUGCCCUCUUCGCUGCCUCCGGGAUGUGCGCGGGCACGCGAGGCACUGUGCCCCGACCUGAGCUUAUCCGUUAGCUCAGACACGGGUUGAGAAGAAUUUGUACUGUAUGAAAGAACACGGAGAGGUUGUGACCAACCACGAGGACUGAAUGUUAAGGAUUCAUCCUUUCUCCUGCACUAGGGUCAUGUCUUACACAGAGUCCCCACUGUGGCUUUGCUCUGCUGGGUCAAGGGAAACAUGAGGUGACAAUUUUUGCCCUUUCCUAUUAAUAGUUAAAAUGGUAGAAGGAGAAAGAAGAGGUCUGUACGGAUUUUGUCUUCAAGAUUGAUUUUAUAAUUUCAGGGGAACAUGGAAAGAUGGACCCGCUCCAAGGCUUUUGACUUCCCACACCUUUAAGAGAGAGACAGCAGGAUGACAUCUCAGAUGCUCUGUAGCUGUCCCAGAUCGUGAC